GAUGAACGCUGGCGGCGUGCCUAAUACAUGCAAGUCGAGCGAACGGAUGAGAAGCUUGCUUCUCUGAUGUUAGCGGCGGACGGGUGAGUAACACGUGGAUAACCUACCUAUAAGACUGGGAUAACUUCGGGAAACCGGAGCUAAUACCGGAUAAUAUUUUGAACCGCAUGGUUCAAAAGUGAAAGACGGUCUUGCUGUCACUUAUAGAUGGAUCCGCGCUGCAUUAGCUAGUUGGUAAGGUAACGGCUUACCAAGGCAACGAUGCAUAGCCGACCUGAGAGGGUGAUCGGCCACACUGGAACUGAGACACGGUCCAGACUCCUACGGGAGGCAGCAGUAGGGAAUCUUCCGCAAUGGGCGAAAGCCUGACAGAGCAACACCGCGUGAGUGAUGAAGGUCUACGGAUCGUAAAACUCUGUUAUUAGGGAAGAACAUAUGUGUAAGUAACUGUGCACAUCUUGACGGUACCUAAUCAGAAAGCCACGGCUAACUACGUG
Molecule: ribosomal RNA, 497 nt
Filed under: uncultured bacterium
Lineage: Bacteria
Description: partial 16S ribosomal RNA
Rfam family: Bacterial small subunit ribosomal RNA
Source: RNAcentral